GGGAUCGGGAUCGGGAAUGGGAUCGGGACAUCCUGAAAUUGGGGGGAAAUUCCGAUUUGGGGGUAAACUUGUGAGCGGAGAUGCCCCAAAAAAGAGGAAAAAACCCCAAAAACUCAGGAGCAGCCCCACCUCCCCUAAUCCCUGAAUCCCUGAAUCCCUUUUCCCCCCAGAUUGGGGGGAAUUGGGAUUGGGGGAAUCUUUAGGAUUGAGCUGAGAACUGGGCUAUGAGGAGAUGCCUGAAAUGAGGAGGAAAUUCCAAUUUAAGCACAAAUUUCUGAGCAGAGAAACCCUGAAAGAGAGGAAAAAAACCCCAAAAACCCCCAAAAC
This is a long non-coding RNA of Corvus hawaiiensis (hawaiian crow), 327 nucleotides long. RefSeq lists it as uncharacterized. The record is from RefSeq and is a predicted model, not a curated record. Lineage: Eukaryota; Metazoa; Chordata; Aves; Passeriformes; Corvidae. The transcript has 2 exons.